Long non-coding RNA from Acanthaster planci (crown-of-thorns starfish), 622 nucleotides. Lineage: Eukaryota; Metazoa; Echinodermata; Asteroidea; Valvatida; Acanthasteridae. The record is from RefSeq and is a predicted model, not a curated record.
GGCAUUUUUUUUGAAAAGUUUCUUUUAGUCUUACCUUGGCCCAAGUGAGAAUUAGUUUAUCUGCGCAGGUUCCCUGGAUAAAAUAAAGGCAUAGUCUUCAACAAAGAAGGCAAAUCAACAUUAACCUCUGUCGCAGUGAACUACAAGUCUAACUUUGACUUUGAGAAUUGAGAAGGGAGGAACUUGUGGACAUGACUCAAGCCACAGUGUUUGAAAGAAACAGCUGUCUUGGAGAAAUUGGAAGAACAAUAUUAGUGAGGAAGAGGUUGCAAGGAUUCUAAAUAACGUACUGGAAGGAAAUUGGCUCCUGUCUGGGAUCCAUCUAGCAGAAGCUAUGCUCAUGCAACCUCAAGGAAUGGCCAUACCAGAACCACACUCUAGUAUGACGAGCGAGCUGAAACCGUGGACUGAUGAAGAAACAAAAGUUUGGUACAAGGAACCACACUCUACUUUGGCGAGACCUGAAACAGUGGACUAAUGAAGAAAAUGAAAGUCUGGUGCAAGGAACCACACUGUCACUAUGACGAGCGAGCUGAAGUAGUGGAGAUGAAGAAAAUGGAGGUUUGGUACAAUGAACCACAUUCUACUAUGACGAGUGAGCUGAAACGGUGGAGAUGAAGAA